Molecule: long non-coding RNA, 332 nt
Filed under: Pelobates cultripes (western spadefoot toad)
Lineage: Eukaryota; Metazoa; Chordata; Amphibia; Anura; Pelobatidae
Source: RNAcentral
UAUACCUCCCCAGAUUUUGCAAGGUUCUUACUUUGUGUAAUUAGCCCCAGGGAAAUGUGUUAUGUUCUAAUGAAUGUUGCACUUUAAAAAUGUGUAUAUUUGGGCCCUGGGGUGGAGCACCUGGAGAGUAGGGUGGGCCAGUGCUCCACUCCACAUUUUGGAAGUUGCUUGGUGAGAAGUCCAGUUCUGGAGUUUGAAUCCUAAUCUAACUCACCUGAAAAGGUUUGUCAAUUACCAGUGCUAUUAAGUACUCCCCUGCCAAGGAAGAAGGGAGAUUGUGUUUGGUUUCUGUGAGUGGAAACAGAGAGCUGAAAACCCUGAAGCAGUAAGGC